This 1187-nucleotide ribosomal RNA is filed under the name Klebsiella pneumoniae. RNAcentral describes it as "bacterial LSU rRNA". It matches the Rfam family "Bacterial large subunit ribosomal RNA", at positions 238 to 1471 of the family's 2925-position model. The record is from RNAcentral. Lineage: Bacteria; Pseudomonadati; Pseudomonadota; Gammaproteobacteria; Enterobacterales; Enterobacteriaceae.
CCCCAGUAGCGGCGAGCGAACGGGGAGCAGCCCAGAGUCUGAAUCAGCUUGUGUGUUAGUGGAACGGUCUGGAAAGUCCGACGGUACAGGGUGAUAGUCCCGUACACCAAAAUGCACAGGCUGUGAACUCGAAGAGUAGGGCGGGACACGUGGUAUCCUGUCUGAAUAUGGGGGGACCAUCCUCCAAGGCUAAAUACUCCUGACUGACCGAUAGUGAACCAGUACCGUGAGGGAAAGGCGAAAAGAACCCCGGCGAGGGGAGUGAAAAAGAACCUGAAACCGUGUACGUACAAGCAGUGGGAGCACCUUCGGGUGUGACUGCGUACCUUUUGUAUAAUGGGUCAGCGACUUAUAUUCUGUAGCAAGGUUAACCGUAUAGGGGAGCCGCAGGGAAACCGAGUCUUAACUGGGCGUUAAGUUGCAGGGUAUAGACCCGAAACCCGGUGAUCUAGCCAUGGGCAGGUUGAAGGUUGGGUAACACUAACUGGAGGACCGAACCGACUAAUGUUGAAAAAUUAGCGGAUGACUUGUGGCUGGGGGUGAAAGGCCAAUCAAACCGGGAGAUAGCUGGUUCUCCCCGAAAGCUAUUUAGGUAGCGCCUCGUGAACUCAUCUUCGGGGGUAGAGCACUGUUUCGGCUAGGGGGUCAUCCCGACUUACCAACCCGAUGCAAACUACGAAUACCGAAGAAUGUUAUCACGGGAGACACACGGCGGGUGCUAACGUCCGUCGUGAAGAGGGAAACAACCCAGACCGCCAGCUAAGGUCCCAAAGUCAUGGUUAAGUGGGAAACGAUGUGGGAAGGCACAGACAGCCAGGAUGUUGGCUUAGAAGCAGCCAUCAUUUAAAGAAAGCGUAAUAGCUCACUGGUCGAGUCGGCCUGCGCGGAAGAUGUAACGGGGCUAAACCAUGCACCGAAGCUGCGGCAGCGACACUAUGUGUUGUUGGGUAGGGGAGCGUUCUGUAAGCCUGCGAAGGUGUGCUGUGAGGCAUGCUGGAGGUAUCAGAAGUGCGAAUGCUGACAUAAGUAACGAUAAAGCGGGUGAAAAGCCCGCUCGCCGGAAGACCAAGGGUUCCUGUCCAACGUUAAUCGGGGCAGGGUGAGUCGACCCCUAAGGCGAGGCCGAAAGGCGUAGUCGAUGGGAAACAGGUUAAUAUUCCUGUACUUGGUGUUACUGCGAAGGGGGG